RNAcentral lists this non-coding RNA (45 nucleotides) under Schistosoma curassoni. Lineage: Eukaryota; Metazoa; Platyhelminthes; Trematoda; Strigeidida; Schistosomatidae. The record is from RNAcentral.
AUCCAGAUGACGAAUCCCAAAUAAGACGAAACGGACGUCCUGGAU